CCUACGGGGUGCUGCAGUGGGGAAUAUUGGACAAUGGGCGAAAGCCUGAUCCAGCCAUGCCGCGUGUGUGAAGAAGGCCUUCGGGUUGUAAAGCACUUUCAGUGGGGAAGAAAGCCUUGGGGCUAAUACCCUCGAGGAAGGACAUCACCCACAGAAGAAGCACCGGCUAACUCCGUGCCAGCAGCCGCGGUAAUACGGAGGGUGCGAGCGUUAAUCGGAAUUACUGGGCGUAAAGCGCGCGUAGGCGGUCUGAUAAGCCGGUUGUGAAAGCCCCGGGCUCAACCUGGGAACGGCAUCCGGAACUGUCAGGCUAGAGUGCAGGAGAGGAAGGUAGAAUUCCCGGUGUAGCGGUGAAAUGCGUAGAGAUCGGGAGGAAUACCAGUGGCGAAGGCGGCCUUCUGGACUGACACUGACGCUGAGGUGCGAAAGCGUGGGUAGCAAACAGGAUUAGAUACCCUUGAGUC
Molecule: ribosomal RNA, 464 nt
Filed under: Vreelandella stevensii
Lineage: Bacteria; Pseudomonadati; Pseudomonadota; Gammaproteobacteria; Oceanospirillales; Halomonadaceae
Description: partial 16S ribosomal RNA
Rfam family: Bacterial small subunit ribosomal RNA
Source: RNAcentral